Molecule: ribosomal RNA, 363 nt
Filed under: Triticum aestivum (bread wheat)
Lineage: Eukaryota; Viridiplantae; Streptophyta; Magnoliopsida; Poales; Poaceae
Description: partial small subunit ribosomal RNA
Source: RNAcentral
AUGGUAGAAGAAAUAGAGCCGGAAGCCCAUUUGCAAGGCACAAUUCAAGAACAGAUGCUCUAUAACAGAAGAACCCUAAAAGAAAUAACUGAAAUUACAUAUGAAUCUGAAAACAGGGAAGCAAUGAUAAAGUCAAUUAAUACAUCAGAUGAGUGGUACUACAUAGGAUGCCGUAAAUGCAACAAAAAAGUACAGAAACAAGGGAACCACUUCUACUGUCCGAAAUGUGAAAAAGAACCUGAGAAGAUAUGUGAUCUGAGUGCAACAACAACUUGCACCAUGUUUGAGGCAGAAGCAAAAAAAUUGAUUAAGCAAUCUGCAAGUGUCUUGAUAGAGAGGGAUGAUUGUGAUAUCCAUGAGUAG